Long non-coding RNA from Pocillopora verrucosa, 397 nucleotides. RefSeq lists it as uncharacterized. Lineage: Eukaryota; Metazoa; Cnidaria; Anthozoa; Scleractinia; Pocilloporidae. The record is from RefSeq and is a predicted model, not a curated record.
GUCAUUUGCAUUUUAUGGUUCCUCGUGGUCUUAGCAAUUUCACUUCUCAGUGAAAAGCUGACUGCAAAAACUCAUCAAACGGUCAAGUCUGACGUCCAAGGCUUACCUGAAGAUUUGGCACAGACUCGCAGCACACAACAAAGCUUUCCACAAAUGAAAGAACUUGCUGUGAGAAUCAGUCGGAUGAAGCUUUCUAAUGGAGCCACUUGAAGAUUGAUUAAAUAUGAAGGCAUGGGAGUGAAUGUAGAGGAAACGAAGAGAAAGAAAAUAUGGCAAGUAUAUUUACACAGAGGCAUCGCGAUCGACAAGAAGAAGUAAAGGAAACCGGGCCAGGAGCCCAUUACUCAAUGGACUCUUGACCGGGCCUAUCAUGAUCAUCUCAUUGGAUCCGUUUUAA